GAAUAUUAGUCAAUGCUCGAAAGAGUGAACUAGCUAACUGAAAUCAAUUAUAAUAAUUGAUAACAUAAGGGAAAAUAAUGAUAUUACCUUAUUAUUAGUGUCGUCCAAAUCUGGUGCCAGAAGACUCGGUAAGGCCAGAGACACAAACGUUAAUCGUCUUAAUCAGGCGUAAAGGGUUUGUAGGCGGCUUUUAAAUUUACUUAUACAAAAUUAAAAAGAUAAAUAAGUUAAUAAUAAAAGCUAGAAUCAAAUAGAGGAUAUAUCAAAUAAUGCUUAGAGUAGGUCUGAUAUCCUUAGAUACUAAGUAGAAUAUUAAAGGCGAAAGCUUUUUUCCAAUAAUGAUUGACGCUCAGAAACGAAGGUGAGGAUAGGAAAUAGGAUUAGAUACCCAAAAUACCCCUCUCUGUCAACGAUGAAUGGUAGUUAUUAGUAAUAAACUUAUUAAUGGCAAUGUUAACACGAUAACCAUUCCGCCUUGUGAGUACAACUGCAAAGUUGAAAACAAAAAAAUUAGUCGGUUUCGGAGCAAACGAAGUGAAGCAUGUUAUUUAAUUC
Molecule: ribosomal RNA, 555 nt
Filed under: Russula mustelina
Lineage: Eukaryota; Fungi; Basidiomycota; Agaricomycetes; Russulales; Russulaceae
Description: mitochondrial SSU rRNA
Rfam family: Bacterial small subunit ribosomal RNA
Source: RNAcentral